RNAcentral lists this ribosomal RNA (247 nucleotides) under uncultured bacterium. RNAcentral describes it as "partial 16S ribosomal RNA". It matches the Rfam family "Bacterial small subunit ribosomal RNA", at positions 523 to 769 of the family's 1533-position model. The record is from RNAcentral.
AUACGUAGGGUGCGAGCGUUAAUCGGAAUUACUGGGCGUAAAGCGUGCGCAGGCGGUUUUUUAAGACAGGCGUGAAAUCCCCGGGCUUAACCUGGGAACUGCGCUUGUGACUGGAAGGCUAGAGUACGGCAGAGGGGGGUGGAAUUCCACGCGUAGCAGUGAAAUGCGCAGAGAUGUGGAGGAACACCGAUGGCGAAGGCAGCCCCCUGGGCCGAUACUGACGCUCAUGCACGAAAGCGUGGGGAGC